AUAAAUAAAAAUCCCCAAAAAAAUUCAGGAGAAACAUCUGAGAAAAUAGUGGUACUUUAACAAAACAUACUGUAACUCUCCAUUUAAAACUUCUGAGCUAUGAAAGAGCAACAUCUGAGCAAUUAUAAUUUAUAUAAUUUUAUCGGUAUUGUAGAUAUGGCAUUCUCCUUCAACCUUGUGAUUGACAUUUCUAAGCGAAUCAUCAGUGUUUGUCCAUAAUGACAGCUCAUCUCUUCUCCAGCAGACCAAAUGAAGCUGGGCUGUGAGAGAAGCAUUUGAGAGACUGAAUAAGUGUGUCAGGAGUCGUCUCUGAUAAACGUUGUCUUUUUUUAUUGUAACCACAGUUGCCUGGCAACGGUUCCUGCUCUUAUCUUGUUCCGUCUGAGUCUGAUAAGCUACUGUGAGUCGGAGGUGGAUGGAGGUGUUUUGUAAUAGAGAGUGAUUUCACCGCACUGAGAAAAUAUUGCGACAGAUGGAGAUGUAUGCAGAAAAACAGUCUAGAAAGGUCCUCCAAGUACAGGAAGAGGUUAUGUGAAAUAAAGGGAUGGAGGAAUUCUGAAGAAACAUCAACAAACUUAACACAUCAAUGGAACUCUAGUGAGAACUUCAUGAAGCCUCCUGUGAAAUGAUAAUUUCCUCUGGGAAUAAUGAAAGGAGAGGAGGGGAAAACAAUGCUGAGUCAAGACUUUUCCUCUGACCUCAAUAUUUGUAUUCUCACUUAAUGGGGGUGGGGUGCAGAUAAACAAAUGGACUGUGUGAAUGUGUUUCUGUGUACUUAUCAAGAGGAAAUAGUCUUAUCUGCCUCAGUAAACAAUACAUACACUUCCGAGAGGAAAGUUGUGGACUUCUUAACAGACACUUUCCAAGAACACAGUCACAAUGAUUAGGAAGUGCUCCAGAGGUACCUCCAUAUUCUGAGGACCAAAAGGAACAGCCAUCAGCUCAAUUUCCAUACAGAGAGGUGUCACUGCUGGAAGUGUGUAAACAGGCCCAUGGAAAUGAAAAAUAAGGUCGAGAGCAGACAACUUCCUGUUUCAAAGUGAAAGUGAGGCCAGUCUACAAUCCAGGGUUUAUUGCUGCAGCUGAACCACACACUUUUCAACUGAUGCUUACACCAACACCUGGAUUAACUCACCCAGCGCUCAAGAACAGCACAGCUUUGGAUCUCAGAAGUGAAGUGCUGGAGACCAGCUGACACCCUGUUUACACCUGGUAUUAAUCCAAAUCACAAAUUCCCAUUAUUAAACACAGGUUUAAACUGGGUUCAACACAUAGUAACACACUGACAUAGUGAGCGAAAAUAUGUCACAGAAGACACAUUUGAGACAUAUUAAUACCAGAUAUAAACAACUUGUCUUGACCACAGACGGAUCUUAAUUCCAGGUGUAAACAAACAUAAUACUCUUCUCUCUCCGUGUUUGGCAGACCUUUGAGAACGCAAGGCCUCUAUCAUCAAGUGGCAAAGAGAGAGAAAGAGCAGUUUCUCUUAUAAUUCUCUUCAUCUAUGUAAUCAUGACUCUGCACCCUUUCAUCAUUUAGAGUUUACAUACCUAAUCACUCUUUUUUUUCCUUUGUAUAAAAUUCUUUGUUGUUAUUGGCUAUAGUCUCACCAACAAAAGUUUUCUGAAAGAGAGAGAGGGAAAAAAAAAAAAAAAAAAAAAAAAAAAAAAGAGGGAGUUGGCUUAGAACUAGAAGUAAUUGAGGGAGUGUACACGUGUACACAGCAGGGAUGCAGCUCUUUAUUUAUUUACUUAUUUUAAAAUCAACCCUGCAUCUAUAUAAGCCAAUAUAAAAAGUUAUUUUUCCAAAUAGAAUACAAUCUUUUUUUUCCCCUAAUGCCAAUUUUUUUUUUUUACAAAAUUACUCAACCUUUUUGAUGUCUGAUUUUACUUCUCUACAACUUCUUUUAAACAAACAAACAAACUUGUCAGACAUUUCCAGUUGCUUUCCUAUCAGUCCUGAUAUUUUGUAAGAAUAUUACAGUUCAGUGGUCCCACUAUGAUUUUAAAGGCUUUGUCAAACAUGACAAAAUGCUGUUUUAUUGUAUUUAUUGUAAUUUAUUUCCUUUAUGCGUAACACCUGGACUUUGUAAGCACCUGAAAGCUUUUUGUAAUACCGUCAUCCUUUACAGUCAUGCCAAUGCUUUGCUGAUUCAGACACUCUAAAAGAAAUUAAAAAGAGCUCUGGUGGAAAGAGAGAUCUGUGUAAAGGGAUCAAAUGCAGGUGUUACUGGGUGAGGGCAGUCAUGCAUCUGUCACAGGGAAAUUUAUAUUUAUACUGCACACCUUCAGAAAAUAAAAGCAGCUCUCAACUUCA
Ctenopharyngodon idella (grass carp) is the source of this 2316-nucleotide long non-coding RNA. RefSeq lists it as uncharacterized. Lineage: Eukaryota; Metazoa; Chordata; Actinopteri; Cypriniformes; Xenocyprididae. The record is from RefSeq and is a predicted model, not a curated record. The transcript is spliced from 3 exons.